Molecule: ribosomal RNA, 117 nt
Filed under: Plagiomnium affine
Lineage: Eukaryota; Viridiplantae; Streptophyta; Bryopsida; Bryales; Mniaceae
Description: partial 5.8S ribosomal RNA
Rfam family: 5.8S ribosomal RNA
About the family: 5.8S ribosomal RNA (5.8S rRNA) is a component of the large subunit of the eukaryotic ribosome. It is transcribed by RNA polymerase I as part of the 45S precursor that also contains 18S and 28S rRNA.
Source: RNAcentral
AAGAACGCAGCGAAAUGCGAUACGUAGUGUGAAUUGCAGAAUUCCGCGAAUCAUCGAGUCUUUGAACGCAAGUUGCGCCCGAGGCUCGUCCGAGGGCAUUUCCGUUAGAGCGUCACC